RNAcentral lists this long non-coding RNA (749 nucleotides) under Mytilus galloprovincialis (Mediterranean mussel). Lineage: Eukaryota; Metazoa; Mollusca; Bivalvia; Mytilida; Mytilidae. The record is from RNAcentral.
GUUUUAUCUCUCUAAGCUGAUAUAUGUGUUCACUACUCAACCUGGUUCACAUGGAGGUUAUCAUCACUGUGUUUUGCUUCCUGGAUGGUCUCCUCCUCCGUCUGACCAGAUCUCUCUGUGCGUUGAUUGCCGGAAUGGGUUGGCUCACAUUUUAUUAUACAUUGAUGGAUCUUCAAACCUCUAGCAUUCUUGCAGACUUUCCCACAAAAAACAUGUACAUUCAUGUCCGUGCUCGCUAUCCUUUCUCGUUCUUUAUUCGUAUCAUGAGUCUGUCCUAUAGGCUGUUCAUCAUUCCUCGCACUCGCACAGCCUCAAGUGUGUCUUAAUAUAUAUAUAUAUAUAUCGGUUUAUUGCGUGUAGUGAAAGUUCUCUUCACAGGAGAUGCACUUUGUCCUGCCAAGCCUAAUACCGCAAGUACCAUUCUCUCCUGGCUGCCGUCGGUCUCUCCAGGUCGCCUCUCUCUGUUCUCUUCACAGUCGUCAACUCGAAUAUCAUAUUUUCUUUAAUAAAGGUUGCAUGUCCAACUCUCAUUAGGUACUAAUGGUCAAACUUACUUAAUCUACUGUUAAUACUUUUGACGGCUAAUAAUAACUAAUGCUGCUGCAAUCAAAUGAUGUUUGACAACCCUUUUGAAUAACUAAUACAUUUUUUAUUUAUAGAAUGGCAUGCAAGUACUUUAACUAUUUAGUUUACUUUAUAGUGAAAAUAUACUUAUAAGUACUGCACGUUUAUGUAUUAAAAGUGGCGAG